CUGAGUCCUCCCUUGUUAAAUCCCCGUUCCAUUCAUGCCCACUCUCACCACAACCAGCCGCCGCCACCACAGCUCCUCCAUUUGCAUCUCAGUCAGCUCCAAGGAAGGAAGCGGUCAGCCAUAUCCGGCCGCGGCAAGGGCGGGAAGGGGCUGGGCAAGGGCGGCGCCAAGCGCCACCGGAAGGUGCUGCGCGACAACAUCCAGGGCAUCACCAAGCCGGCCAUCCGUCGUCUUGCCCGCAGGGGCGGCGUGAAGCGCAUCUCGGGGCUCAUCUACGAGGAGACCCGUGGCGUGCUCAAGAUCUUCCUCGAGAACGUCAUCCGCGACGUCGUCACCUACACAGAGCACGCCCGCCGCAAGACCGUCACCGCCAUGGACGUCGUCUACGCGCUCAAGCGCCAGGGACGCACCCUCUACGGAUUCGGCGGCUGA
RNAcentral lists this ribosomal RNA (432 nucleotides) under Triticum aestivum (bread wheat). Its description in RNAcentral is "partial small subunit ribosomal RNA". Lineage: Eukaryota; Viridiplantae; Streptophyta; Magnoliopsida; Poales; Poaceae. The record is from RNAcentral.